UCGAGCGAACGGACGAGAAGCUUGCUUCUCUGAUGUUAGCGGCGGACGGGUGAGUAACACGUGGAUAACCUACCUAUAAGACUGGGAUAACUUCGGGAAACCGGAGCUAAUACCGGAUAAUAUUUUGAACCGCAUGGUUCAAAAGUAAAAGACGGUCUUGCUGUCACUUAUAGAUGGAUCCGCGCUGCAUUAGCUAGUUGGUAAGGUAACGGCUUACCAAGGCAACGAUGCAUAGCCGACCUGAGAGGGUGAUCGGCCACACUGGAACUGAGACACGGUCCAGACUCCUACGGGAGGCAGCAGUAGGGAAUCUUCCGCAAUGGGCGAAAGCCUGACGGAGCAACGCCGCGUGAGUGAUGAAGGUCUUCGGAUCGUAAAACUCUGUUAUUAGGGAAGAACAUAUGUGUAAGUAACUGUGCACAUCUUGACGGUACCUAAUCAGAAAGCCACGGCUAACUACGUGCCAGCAGCCGCGGUAAUACGUAGGUGGCAAGCGUUAUCCGGAAUUAUUGGGCGUAAAGCGCGCGUAGGCGGUUUUUUAAGUCUGAUGUGAAAGCCCACGGCUCAACCGUGGAGGGUCAUUGGAAACUGGAAGACUUGAGUGCAGAAGAGGAAAGUGGAAUUCCAUGUGUAGCGGUGAAAUGCGCAGAGAUAUGGAGGAACACCAGUGGCGAAGGCGACUUUCUGGUCUGUAACUGACGCUGAUGUGCGAAAGCGUGGGGAUCAAACAGGAUUAGA
This 738-nucleotide ribosomal RNA is filed under the name uncultured Staphylococcus sp. RNAcentral describes it as "bacterial SSU rRNA". It matches the Rfam family "Bacterial small subunit ribosomal RNA", at positions 62 to 782 of the family's 1533-position model. The record is from RNAcentral. Lineage: Bacteria; Bacillati; Bacillota; Bacilli; Caryophanales; Staphylococcaceae.